AACAGAUCAAGCCACUCCUGCCACUGGGCAUUCGGAGGGUGGGCCAAACGACAUCCAGGGCCAAGGGCGAUGGGAGCCAUUCCUCCGAUGAAGACGACCUCUUCGUGUGAGCGUUGGAAUUUGAGGACAACUGAGAGCUACUGGCCGACCAAAUUCAGCUGGGGAAGCCGUUUGGGAAUUCCAGCCCGGAAGCCUCCUCCUUUCCUCGGGGGUGGGCAGGGCCCCUUUUGCAAACUAAGCCCUGCCCGUAUUCCCUCCCAACCAGCAGACCUCUUCGAGCCAGGAGAGGACCUCGAGGGGAGCCAACAUGGAGGUGAAUGGCUGGAGUUUUCAGAGCUCCUCCGAAACACUUGUGUUUUUCCUGUCAAUGCCGAUCUGCAUACUUCCUCGAGUCAAACCGUUUGCAGAUAAAAAGAGAACUCCAACUUGAUUUACUACGACAAUAGAUAGAACUUUAAUAUGGGACGGAAAAAACGCUCGCGUGUAAGUCCAACCGCUGAACCCAUUGAAUCCACCGAAUCCACAGAACGGGAGAGACGCUCCAAGCAAUCUCCUAUGGACCAGUACUUAACUCCUUCUGUAAGUCCUCAAUCUAAGCUCUCUACUUACAAUAGAUAUGAGGCAUUAGGAUCCUCUAAUGACAUUACAAAGAUUACAAACAGUGCUAUCAAGGCAGUAAAUUCUGACCCUUUCACAACUGACAGUAGGCCGAAUACGGCAUCGGAGCAGAAUGCGAUGUUGGCUCAGCGUUGCAAGUGAAUGGCUGAUACUUUGCAGCUCACCCUUCCAACCUUACUUGGUGUAUGGAAGGGAAAGUGGAUGCAAUAACUCACAUGUUGAAACAAAUACAGCCUGAGCUCUUUAACAGACCUCAGCAGACUAGCUACCCAGAUGCCUUAGGAUCAGUGAAAUCUGAGAUGAAGCAGCAUAUAUCUUGACAGAAAUAUUUACAACAAAGUAAAUCGUGUGCUACAAGCGAACUCUGUUGCUCUUCUUAUAGAGCGUAUACCAGGUAAUCAUGCUAAAUGGAGUUAUAAAUCAGCCAUUCUGAGGUCAUGAAGUCUGCUGACACAAUGCCAUAUUCUGGGUAGAGACCUUGUAAAGUAUACAUAUUGACCUGAUGUUAAUUUUCAUCAGAGAAUUCUGCUCACCUUCAGAGAUGAGAAACAAAUUCCAAGAAUACUCCUUCAGAUGAGGGCGCACUUAGCGUGGUUUGGAAUUCAAGCCAGGAGACAUUUUACUAAUACUGUUAAGACCACCUUAGUGAGGAGAGGGUUAAGUCCGCAGCCAUCUGAGAACCGACGGCCAUUGUUUACUGGAAGCGAACAGAAGAUAACUAGGGAAAUCUCAACACAGACUAGCUCUCAAGGUCAAGCUCAUAGUAUCGUGCCAGAGGGGAUGGUAAAGCAAGUGAGACUGAACAACCAUUCGGGACAGAAAAAUGAGAUACUGACUCAAAUUUCCUCGAAUGAAGGAGAAAAAAGGCAUAAUGCUCCUUAUGAUUAUAUCGAUCUAGCCCUCGAGGGAUCACAGAAUACCCCAAAGACGUUACUAGAAAUCGCAGAGGACUUGGUGAGCCUCCAGAAAACCUCUGAUGAACCUCAGUCAAGGAUUAAUUUUUUAGAACAACAAGCUUUCGCUGACCUUGCUGAGCUCUCUAUGGACCAUGACUCAGUGGUGGACCUGCAAAACCAAGAUCCAAUACACAAUAACCAACUCUUGAUUGACCAUGUGAGAGUAGCCCUGUAUGAAAAUGCUCCAUUGAAGGAAAAUAGCUGGAGGGGGAUACUAACUGACCCUCAUUUGGAUAACAUCACAGCUCUACUGACACCUACAGUAAGGACAAUUCCUCGCCAAAGAGAGAUGCCCAGACUAGGUUCGGUAAAGAUACUUUUAGUGUAAACAGCUUCCUAGAGCAAGAGAUCAAGCGACUCCCUGAUAUAGACACAGUCUUAUCGAGGACAAUAACUCCGCUGGACAAUGAGUGCUGCAAUAGAUCUUUGCAGAGAACAUCUGAAAUAAUGGGACAGAUCCAGGGACCUACCCCGUCUGAACAGGGAAACAUGCUGGUUGUAGACUGACAUUCAAAGCCUUUUAACCAGGUUGCAACACUUGUAUGGAAUGUGGCUGACUUAAGGUCUGAAAUUACAGACCCUGAUUUUAUGUCCUUUAUCACCAAGCACGAGAUAUUGAUAAUGCAGGGAACUUGGUGGACAGAAGAUAUUACUCUUCCUGGUUGUAUAUCGAUUUCAUUAAAUGCGGGAAGAACUGCAUGCAGAGGCAGACCGAGUGGUGGCUUGCCAGUCUUGGCCUCCACAGCUCUGACUUCACAACUGUCCCUGCUUACUAGGACCUUACUAGGAGAGGACCUGGAUUUUGGUGACGUUCUCCAGGAGUAGCUCCCUUCCACUGCAAGCCCCAGGACAAACCUGGCAAGAAAGUGAAAUGCAAGAAGAAGAUCCUAGGAGAAGAUCCCCGUGUGGUUCUUGCCACCUUGGAAUGGGCUGAGCAGAACCAGGAUUUUCAGGAAGGCAAGUCCAUGAGUGGGGUACCCAGUGUGGUUGUCCAUGGGGAUCUGGCCAAGGGUUGUAGUCAUGUGUCAGAAGGAGGGGAUGUUACCUGAAGCCUGGCUGCUUUGACCUGAAAAAAUUCUGAAUAAUAUCAUGACCUUGGAUGAAGGUUUAUGGACAGAGGGACAGGAAAUGUCUUGUGGGCAGCUGAAAUCGCUGGCCAACGGAAGUUUCUCAAAAGGGAGUCUCUUGUCAAAAAGAAAAGGAAUCACAAGAAUGUGGACAUAGACAGACCUUGUGGCUUUGUACAACAGGUGACCUUGUGGACUAACGACCAUGUGGCUCAGUGGUCACGGACUAUGGGGACUUUGGGCUCCAAGUGGCAAAGGUGGUCCUGGACGCUGCAAGAGUCACAGAUGCGGGUCCAGCAUGUGCCUGGCAAAGAAAACACCCUCAAGGAGUUUUCUCUGUCUGGAGAGGGGGAAUCUCAGCCUGGAAGGAUGGCCUGGACGUGGCCCACAAGUACCCUCAGAAGACAAGCGCUGAAAUCCUGGAAGGGCCAGGCAGUAUUGAGCCCCAGACCUCUGCCGAGAGCAGGACAAGAGACUGCCCAUCCAGCAAGCCAGACGCCGAGAAGAGAGAGAAUCCAGAGAACUCUGUGUAGGGACCAGUGUAGGGUGUUAGGGUAGUGGGUGCGUUUCUUUCCAACCUUUUAUUUUCCCUGGUAUGUUCUUUUGGUAGGUUUGUUUUCAGUUUUCAGUUUUGCUGCAAAGUAAUGCUUUAAUUGAACUGGUUUUUUAAAAAGUAAACUUUCUUAUUCUAUCAAGA
Hemicordylus capensis (graceful crag lizard) is the source of this 3338-nucleotide long non-coding RNA. RefSeq lists it as uncharacterized. The transcript has 2 exons. NCBI's taxonomy places the organism in Eukaryota, Metazoa, Chordata, Lepidosauria, Squamata, Cordylidae. The record is from RefSeq and is a predicted model, not a curated record.